CACCUGUUCCCAUGCCGAACACAGAAGUUAAGCUUCUUAGCGCCGAUUGUAGUGAAGGGGUUCCCUUUGUGAGAGUAGGACGUCGCCACGC
This 91-nucleotide ribosomal RNA is filed under the name Enterococcus faecalis. The record is from RNAcentral. Lineage: Bacteria; Bacillati; Bacillota; Bacilli; Lactobacillales; Enterococcaceae.